GGGGCUGAUUCUGGAUUCGACGGGAUUUGCGAAACCCAAGGUGCAUGCCGAGGGGCGGUUGGCCUCGUAAAAAGCCGCAAAAAAUAGUCGCAAACGACGAAAACUACGCUUUAGCAGCUUAAUAACCUGCUUAGAGCCCUCUCUCCCUAGCCUCCGCUCUUAGGACGGGGAUCAAGAGAGGUCAAACCCAAAAGAGAUCGCGUGGAAGCCCUGCCUGGGGUUGAAGCGUUAAAACUUAAUCAGGCUAGUUUGUUAGUGGCGUGUCCGUCCGCAGCUGGCAAGCGAAUAUAAAGACUGACUAAGCAUGUAGUACCGAGGACGUAGGAAUUUCGGACGCGGGUUCAACUCCCGCCAGCUCCACCA
This 363-nucleotide transfer-messenger RNA is filed under the name Escherichia coli. It matches the Rfam family "transfer-messenger RNA". From Rfam's summary of the family: Bacterial tmRNA, also known as 10Sa RNA or SsrA, is named for its dual tRNA and mRNA-like properties. Its role is to liberate the mRNA from a stalled ribosome. Lineage: Bacteria; Pseudomonadati; Pseudomonadota; Gammaproteobacteria; Enterobacterales; Enterobacteriaceae. The record is from RNAcentral.